RNAcentral lists this ribosomal RNA (506 nucleotides) under uncultured bacterium. Its description in RNAcentral is "partial 16S ribosomal RNA". It matches the Rfam family "Bacterial small subunit ribosomal RNA", at positions 28 to 523 of the family's 1533-position model. The record is from RNAcentral.
GAUGAACGCUAGCUACAGGCUUAACACAUGCAAGUCGAGGGGUAACGAGAGGAAAGCUUGCUUUCCUUGUCGACGACCGGCGCACGGGUGAGUAACGCGUAUCCAACCUGCCCCCAACUAGGGAAUAACCUUGCGAAAGUAAGACUAAUACCCUAUAAUUUCCUCAGAUGUCAUCUGACGAGGAAUAAAGAUUUAUCGGUUGUGGAUGGGGAUGCGUCUGAUUAGCUUGUUGGCGGGGUAACGGCCCACCAAGGCAACGAUCAGUAGGGGUUCUGAGAGGAAGGUCCCCCACAUUGGAACUGAGACGCGGUCCAAACUCCUUAGGGAGGAAGCAGUGAGGAAUAUUGGUCAAUGCGCGGAAGGCUGAACCAGCCAAGUAGCGUGCAGGAUGACGGCCUUAUGUGUUGUAAACUGCUUUUAUACAGGAAUAAAGUUAGCCACGUGUGGUUAUUUGUAGGUACUGUAUGAAUAAGGACCGGCUAAUUCCGUGCCAGCAGCCGCCGCGG